Molecule: long non-coding RNA, 230 nt
Organism: Hevea brasiliensis (rubber tree)
Lineage: Eukaryota; Viridiplantae; Streptophyta; Magnoliopsida; Malpighiales; Euphorbiaceae
Exons: 2
Source: RefSeq, a predicted model, not a curated record
UCAUAGAUUUAGUUUCUACAGCUUAUGUUGAAUUUAUUUAGUAGGCAAUUUAAUGUUGUAAAGUUUUAUACUUGUAUACCUCAUCUGGUUUUAUCAAACAUUUCUGGAUAUCCCUACCUUCCUCAUCUGUCAAGAUAUGUUGCAGAAACCUUUUGUCAGGUGGUGGAAGACAAUUUAGCUGCUUUGACACCCAAUUUAUUGUUGAAAUACAAAUAUGCAAAGCCAACUCA